UGAUAUUUCCCCAGAUUUUAUAUUUAAUUCGGCUAUUCUAAACGGCCACACCGUACCCAAUAUAAGAGAAUCGUUCCUGCAAUUGAAUAAUGUAACGCCGAUAACACCAGCAAUCGUAGAAAUAGAGCCGGAAACUGACUUACACGUAGCCGCCGCGUGACUUCGUGAGCCGAAGAAAGAUUUCGGCAAGAGGUGUUUUGACU
This is a non-coding RNA of Paramuricea clavata, 203 nucleotides long. NCBI's taxonomy places the organism in Eukaryota, Metazoa, Cnidaria, Anthozoa, Malacalcyonacea, Plexauridae. The record is from the annotation of a GenBank genome assembly.